Long non-coding RNA from Ctenopharyngodon idella (grass carp), 1275 nucleotides. RefSeq lists it as uncharacterized. The transcript has 4 exons. The record is from RefSeq and is a predicted model, not a curated record. Lineage: Eukaryota; Metazoa; Chordata; Actinopteri; Cypriniformes; Xenocyprididae.
CAGUCAUUUGUUUUAGUCUUGAGAAUUCUUUAAAAGAAAAUAUCUCCCUUUGCUUUGAACUUUGAGCAUCGUAACUUUGCAGAUGUUGUUUAUGCUCUAAAAGCAACAUUACACUAACUAAAGUUUAAAAAGUGAAAUCAUGAUCAACCACCCCUUUAAGAAGAAAUUUGGUUCCUUUAAGAACUAGUCACUGAAAAGUUCUUUGGGGAACCAAAAUUGGUUCUUCUCAUACAUCACUGUGAAAACCUUGUUUUAAAACCUUUAUUUUUAAGAACUAGAACUAAAUAGCUAGAAUCAAUAAAGUACACGAGUUUUAUAUAUUUAUAUAUUCUUCUUAGAACAGACUCAAUAGGUCUUUGAAAAAAGACUCUUCUCAAGGACUCAUCGUGUAUUCUUAACCAUGAAGGUUUAGGGUAAUAUCUUCCCAAAGGAGGAAAAUUAUUCCCGCGACUUAAAAGACAAAAUGGGAGAAAACUGCAAAGCUUAACCACCCAGCAGUGUUUAAGAUGUGUGCGGUCGUCACGGCCAGGAAAGGCCGAGAGAGAUAGAAACGCUUCAGAGCUGAACUGAGCUGCUGUUUCCACCACAGUGUGCCGUUUCUACAAUGGUAAACAGGCAAAGUUAAACAGCACUAUUAAUUAGGCUAAUAUGAAUAUGAUCACUGCCAGGGAAAUUCAAUUCUCUCAGCCCUAAUCACAACUGGAUAGCUUGUAAAAAUUAUUUUGUUAGGCCCUGGUGCAAACAGCGCGGCCUUUUCCAAACAUUUGAGAACUAUUUGUUUUGCAUGGCGAUUAGCGUUUGCUCGUAGCGAGUGAGCGCGGGAAGCGGAGGGCAGCGAUAACCGUUGAGAGACGGGAACGCGCCAGACUCCCGCGGGAACGGCUGACUCAGGAUGUAAUAUGGUGGCAGCCUUGUCUCCUGUUGUGAAGCAGAUGUUGCCCUCUGUUUUUACCCACCUCUGCACCCUUUAUGCCAUGCCAAGCCCCCAGUAUCAAUGGUGCCAUGCUAAGUGAGGGACACAAUGGAUAUGUAAAAAUUCAGCAGAAUACAGGUUUGAUAGUGUGUCCUUUCUCUCCAUCAUUUAACCUCCCGGUCACAACAGAAGAACAGAGGGUGCUGGGAAAGGAGGGGUGAGUGAGGGACUGGGAGAAGGGGCCACUGGUCGCCAGACGCCCAGAGUCUGACACUCCUUCAACUUGAACCCCCCUCUUGCCAAGUCUGUGUUUACCCGCACCAAACAAUAGGCCUGCUAUUGGCAAUUAAAUGGCAUUUGGA